Molecule: ribosomal RNA, 440 nt
Filed under: uncultured bacterium
Lineage: Bacteria
Description: partial 16S ribosomal RNA
Rfam family: Bacterial small subunit ribosomal RNA
Source: RNAcentral
CCUACGGGUGGCAGCAGUGGGGAAUAUUGCACAAUGGGGGAAACCCUGAUGCAGCGACGCCGCGUGAGUGAAGAAGUAUUUCGGUAUGUAAAGCUCUGUCAGCAGGGAAGAAAAUGACGGUACCUGACCAAGAAGCCCCGGCUAACUACGUGCCAGCAGCCGCGGUAAUACGCAGGGGGCCAGCGUUAUCCGGAUUUACUGGGUGUAAAGGGAGGGUAGACGGGAGGGCAAGUCUGGAGGGAAAGGCGGGGGCUCAACCCCCGGACUGCUGUGGAAACUGCCAGGCUGGAGUGCAGGAGAGGUAAGUGGAAUUCCUAGUGUAGCGGUGAAAUGCGUAGAUAUUAGGAGGAACACCAGUUGCGAAGGCAGCUUACUGGACUGUAACUGACGUUGAGGCUCGAAAGCGUGGGGAGCGAACAGGAUUAGAUACCCCAGUAGUC